UCUAGGUGCGUUGAAUGAUUUAGGCAAAUUCUUUGUUUAGCCCACUGAGCCAAACUGACAAACCCUGAAUCUAUCACUUGCAACCCAUUUUGAGCUUAACAAUUCUUUUGAAUUCACUUAUAAAUUUGCCUAGAUUUGAGCCAUCCCGGUCAAAACUGAACUUAAGGGCAAAAAGAAGGGAGAAUAGUGUGAUGGAUUCUAUGGGCAGGACUAGUACAAAGAAAGAAAAAAAAAUGGGAAAUCUAAAUCCCAAAACAGAGAAAAGUCCAGAAAAAGAGAAAAGAAAUAAAAAAGGGGAAGGAGAAAAGGAAAAUAAAAAAAGAGGAAGAAUAAGGGGAAGAAUGUGCUUAGGCCCGUAAGAAUAGGCAAGGAUCUAAAAAAAAUUCUGAAAAGUCUAUGCCAGAAUGAAGUUCAGUAUGACCUUAGCCUCGUACCAAAAAUUCUCACCUCAUGCCUCAAGCCACAUUACAACCCAUGAAAGACCUAAUGAGAUGCGC
RNAcentral lists this long non-coding RNA (497 nucleotides) under Salvia miltiorrhiza (redroot sage). Its description in RNAcentral is "long non-coding RNA (SMIL_LNC010687)". Lineage: Eukaryota; Viridiplantae; Streptophyta; Magnoliopsida; Lamiales; Lamiaceae. The record is from RNAcentral.